Molecule: ribosomal RNA, 221 nt
Filed under: uncultured bacterium
Lineage: Bacteria
Description: partial 16S ribosomal RNA
Rfam family: Bacterial small subunit ribosomal RNA
Source: RNAcentral
AGUAAUGUCUGGGAAACUGCCUGAUGGAGGGGGAUAACUACUGGAAACGGUAGCUAAUACCGCAUAACGUCGCAAGACCAAAUGGGGGACCUUCGGGCCUCAUGCCAUCAGAUGUGCCCAGAUGGGAUUAGCUAGUAGGUGGGGUAACGGCUCACCUAGGCGACGAUCCCUAGCUGGUCUGAGAGGAUGACCAGCCACACUGGAACUGAGACACGGUCCAG